RNAcentral lists this small RNA (1182 nucleotides) under uncultured beta proteobacterium. Its description in RNAcentral is "bacterial SSU rRNA". The stretch from base 1 to 482 matches the Rfam family "Bacterial small subunit ribosomal RNA", at positions 1045 to 1533 of the family's 1533-position model. The record is from RNAcentral. Lineage: Bacteria; Pseudomonadati; Pseudomonadota; Betaproteobacteria.
AUGGCUGUCGUCAGCUCGUGUCGUGAGAUGUUGGGUUAAGUCCCGCAACGAGCGCAACCCUUGUCCCUAGUUGCUACGCAAGGGCACUCUAGGGAGACUGCCGGUGACAAACCGGAGGAAGGUGGGGAUGACGUCAAGUCCUCAUGGCCCUUAUGGGUAGGGCUUCACACGUCAUACAAUGGCCGGUACAGAGGGUUGCCAAAGCGCGAGCUGGAGCCAAUCCCAGAAAGCCGGUCGUAGUCCGGAUUGCAGUCUGCAACUCGACUGCAUGAAGUCGGAAUCGCUAGUAAUCGCGGAUCAGCAUGUCGCGGUGAAUACGUUCCCGGGUCUUGUACACACCGCCCGUCACACCAUGGGAGCGGGAUGUACCAGAAGUAGGUAGGCUAACCGCAAGGGGGCCGCUUACCACGGUGCGUUUCGUGACUGGGGUGAAGUCGUAACAAGGUAGCCGUAUCGGAAGGUGCGGCUGGAUCACCUCCUUUCUAGAGACAACCCAUGUCUUCAAGUGUCCACUCUUAUCGGCUGUUGCCGCUGAUAGCUCAUGGCGGCGAGCGGAUGCCGAAUACGGGCCUGUAGCUCAGUUGGUUAGAGCACCGUCUUGAUAAGGCGGGGGUCGAUGGUUCGAAUCCAUCCAGACCCACCAUCAAAGACGGCUCGGGAGCCCAUCUCGGCAGAGGAGCCCAAUAUGCACGAGGGCCAAGCAGCAAAGGGUGUCGAAGCGAGAGGGGCUGUAGCUCAGUUGGGAGAGCACCUGCUUUGCAAGCAGGGGGUCGUCGGUUCGAUCCCGUCCAGCUCCACCACUUAGGAAGGCGGAGGCCAGAAUCAGCAAAUCCAGCGCAGAGGGCAGAAGUAAACGUGAAGGUUUACUUCUGAUCUUUGGAUCGGUGCCGAGAAUUUCGGUUGUUCUUUAAAAAAAUGGAAGAAGUAAGGCGCACACGACGGAACAAUGUCGUGUGUUGGGUUAGAUUGUAUCGAACCAUUCUCUCCUAGUCCGAGAGAGUGGAAAUCGCAAACACCUAUGACGCAAAGCAGCAGUGCUUAGUGUUAUGGGGUCAAGCGACUAAGUGCAUGUGGUGGAUGCCUUGGCGAUCACAGGCGAUGAAGGACGUGGCAGCCUGCGAAAAGCUCCGGGGAGCUGGCAAACAAGCAUUGAUCCGGAGAUGUCCGAAUGGGGAAACCCGG